AAAACGCCCCGUUUUUGCCGCAAGGCUUAAAAAUGGGUUCAAUACCCAAAACCGUGUCUACCUACCUUUGUUGCUUUGGCAGGCCGCCUUCGGGCGUCGGCUCCGGCUGAUUAGCGCCUGCCAGAGGCCCCAAACUCUGUGUUUAGUGAUGUCUGAGUACUAUAAAAUAUUUA
RNAcentral lists this unclassified non-coding RNA (173 nucleotides) under uncultured Hyaloscypha. RNAcentral describes it as "sequence contains ITS1". Lineage: Eukaryota; Fungi; Ascomycota; Leotiomycetes; Helotiales; Hyaloscyphaceae. The record is from RNAcentral.